Cuculus canorus (common cuckoo) is the source of this 877-nucleotide non-coding RNA. The record is from the annotation of a RefSeq genome assembly. Lineage: Eukaryota; Metazoa; Chordata; Aves; Cuculiformes; Cuculidae.
GGUCAGUGGUGCUUUCUGCGUCUCCUGCAGAGCUGGGGGCAGCCUGGGCUCGCGGGUGCUGGCAGGAGCAGGUCCAAGGGCUGCCUGUCCCUGGCACGGACAGGGCUCCCCCCAGGGCGCUGCUCUCUCUCGGCAGAGCUGGGGGGGCAGAGCCUGGGGGGCACAGACCCCGAGAGGCCGCGCUGGAGCAGCAGGGAGGGGCUUGGGCUCCACCCUCGGCGCUGGGGCUGGGACGCCUCUUGGAGCUGGCAGGGGCAGCAGAGGGCAAGGGCAGAGCCUCAGGUACCUCCUGCCCGCACGCACAGCGGGACAUGGUCCUCCUUCUCCUGGCAGCGCUGCUGGCACUGGCAGCGUCGGGUCUUGCGCAAAAGGACUCUGUGCUCCAGUACCCAGCAGAGAUGACCAUCCAGGCAGGACACAGUGCAACUCUCUACUGCAAUUUCUCUACCAGUGAUAGAUAUCCCUACAUCUUUUGGUAUCAGCAGCACCAGUCACAGUCCCCUCAGAUGUUGCUCUGGGUGACAAAAAGCAAACCUCGCGUGGAUGCAGGGAGGUUCUCCUGUCUGAUGUCUGCAGAGAACUCCCAGGUGUUUCUGCAGGUGCAGGAUGCAGAGCUCCAGGACAGCGCUGCCUAUUUCUGUGUGCUGAGCCCACCCUGGUGCCCAGAGCGUGCAGCGCUGUACAGUAACGUGGGGGGUGCUCUGGGGAGCAGUUCCCUCCCUGCCGCUGCUUGCCUGGAGCUCUGAGCUCAGCCUGCCCAGCAGCAGCACCUGGGGUCAACAGCUCUUGCUGCCAGAGGCCCAAGUCCUCUCUGUGUUUGGAACCCAGAAGCAAAGAGCCCAACACACAAAUGCAGCCCCAGAUUGUCCUGGGCUGC